Molecule: ribosomal RNA, 450 nt
Filed under: uncultured bacterium
Lineage: Bacteria
Description: bacterial SSU rRNA
Rfam family: Bacterial small subunit ribosomal RNA
Source: RNAcentral
AACGAACGCUGGCGGCAGGCCUAACACAUGCAAGUCGAACGCCGUAGCAAUACGGAGUGGCAGACGGGUGAGUAACACGUGGGAACGUACCCUUCGGUUCGGAAUAACUCAGGGAAACUUGAGCUAAAACCGGAUACGUCCGAGAGGAGAAAGAUUUAUCGCCGAGGGAUCGGCCCGCGUCUGAUUAGCUUGUUGGUGAGGUAACGGCUCACCAAGGCGACGAUCAGUAGCUGGUCUGAGAGGAUGAUCAGCCACAUUGGGACUGAGACACGGCCCAAACUCCUACGGGAGGCAGCAGUGGGGAAUAUUGGACAAUGGGCGCAAGCCUGAUCCAGCCAUGCCGCGUGAGUGAUGAAGGCCCUAGGGUUCUAAAGCUCUUUUACCCGGGAAGAUAAUGACUGUACCGGGAGAAUAAGCCCCGGCUAACUUCGUGCCAGCCGCCGCGGUAAC